Molecule: long non-coding RNA, 212 nt
Filed under: Pan troglodytes (chimpanzee)
Lineage: Eukaryota; Metazoa; Chordata; Mammalia; Primates; Hominidae
Description: long non-coding RNA NONPTRT014091
Source: RNAcentral
AGGGAAAUGUAUAGCACUAAAGGCCCACAAGAGAAAGCAGGAAAGAUCUAAAAUUGACACCCUAACAUCACAAGUAAAAGAACUAGAGAAGCAAGAGCAAACACAUUCAAAAGCUAGCAGAAGGCAAGAAAUAACUAAGAUCAGAGCAGAACUGAAGGAGAUAGAGACACAACACAGAAAUACAAACUACCAUCAGAGAAUACUAUAAACAC